This 326-nucleotide long non-coding RNA is filed under the name Brassica napus (rape). RNAcentral's name for it is "long non-coding RNA (BNAP_LNC026065)". Lineage: Eukaryota; Viridiplantae; Streptophyta; Magnoliopsida; Brassicales; Brassicaceae. The record is from RNAcentral.
GAAGUUCCACUGGAAACCAACAUGUGGAGUAAAGUCUCUUUUAGAAGAAGAUGCAGUCCGUGUAGGAGGAACCAACCACAGUCACGCGACACAGGACUUGUAUGACUCCAUUGCUGCUGGAAACUACCCUGAGUGGAAGCUCUUUAUCCAGGUCAUUGAUCCAGCUGACGAAGACAAGUUCGACUUUGACCCACUCGAUGUCACCAAGACCUGGCCUGAGAAUCUUUUGCCUCUCCAACCCGUUGGUCGUAUGGUGUUGAACAAGAACAUUGACAACUUCUUUGCGGAGAAUGAGCAGCUUGCCUUUUGCCCUGCUAUCAUUGUUC